AACGCGAAGAACCUUACCUAGACUUGACAUCCCCGGCAAAGCUAUAGAAAUAUAGUGGAGGUUACCCGGGUGACAGGUGGUGCAUGGUUGUCGUCAGCUCGUGUCGUGAGAUGUUCGGUUAAGUCCGCUAACGAGCGCAACCCUUAUCCUUAGUUGCUAACAUUAAGUUGAGAACUCUAGCGAGACUGCCGGUGACAAACCGGAGGAAGGUGGGGAUGACGUCAAAUCAUCAUGCCCCUUACGUCUAGGGCUACAGGCGUGCUACAAUGGCCGAUACAAAAAGACGCAAUACCGUGAGGUGGAGCUAAUCUCUAAAAUCGGUCUCAGUUCGGAUUGGAGUCUGCAACUCGACUCCAUGAAGCUGGAAUCGCUAGUAAUCCUGAAUCAGAAUGUCAGGGUGAAUACGUUCCCGGGUCUUGUACACACGC
This 428-nucleotide ribosomal RNA is filed under the name uncultured Holdemania sp. RNAcentral describes it as "bacterial SSU rRNA". It matches the Rfam family "Bacterial small subunit ribosomal RNA", at positions 958 to 1393 of the family's 1533-position model. The record is from RNAcentral. Lineage: Bacteria; Bacillati; Bacillota; Erysipelotrichia; Erysipelotrichales; Erysipelotrichaceae.